UACGUAGGGCGCAAGCGUUAUCCGGAAUUAUUGGGCGUAAAGAGCUCGUAGGCGGUUUGUCGCGUCUGCCGUGAAAGUCCGGGGGCUCAACUCCGGAUCUGCGGUGGGUACGGGCAGACUAGAGUGAUGUAGGGGGAGACUGGAAUUCCUGGUGUAGCGGUGAAAUGCGCAGAUAUCAGGAGGAACACCGAUGGCGAAGGCAGGUCUCUGGGCAUUAACUGACGCUGAGGAGCGAAAGCAUGGGGGAGCGAACAGG
This 256-nucleotide ribosomal RNA is filed under the name uncultured bacterium. Its description in RNAcentral is "partial 16S ribosomal RNA". It matches the Rfam family "Bacterial small subunit ribosomal RNA", at positions 524 to 776 of the family's 1533-position model. The record is from RNAcentral.